This 324-nucleotide ribosomal RNA is filed under the name Pandoraea sp. RNAcentral's name for it is "bacterial SSU rRNA". It matches the Rfam family "Bacterial small subunit ribosomal RNA", at positions 920 to 1267 of the family's 1533-position model. The record is from RNAcentral. Lineage: Bacteria; Pseudomonadati; Pseudomonadota; Betaproteobacteria; Burkholderiales; Burkholderiaceae.
CCCGCACAAGCGGUGAUGAUGUGGAUUAAUUCGAUGCAACGGAAAACCUUACCUACCCUUGACAGUACGGAAGUCGUGAGAGGCAUGUGCUCGAAAGAGAACCGUAACAAAGUGCUGCAUGCUGUCGUCAGCUCGUGUCGUGAGAUGUGGUUAAGUCCCGCACGCGCGCACCCUUGUCCUUAGUUGCUACGCAAGAGCAUCUAAGGAGACUCCGGUGACAACCGGAGGAAGGUGGGGAUGACGUCAAGUCCUCAUGGCCCUUAUGGGUAGGGCUUCACCGUCAUCAAUGGUCGGUACAGAGGGGGGCCAAACCGCGAGGUGGAG